UGUGAUUUCAUCCUCCUAUAUAUGAUAAAAGAAGUUCCUAGUCUUUGCCCUAGCUCUCACUUCGCUAUAUAUACGAUCAUUCCAGAGCCAGAAGUCCCCAGUUCCAAAUUCGCGGACAUAAACCCUAAUGUUCGUGAUUUAGGGGAUUUAGGGUUGGCAUUUACUCUUUGUAAUUUUCUCUUGGUUCUUCAUGAGGGUAGUGAUUCCUUUCGGCGCUUACUCAUAGAUCCUCCAAUUCAAUCCAAUGGAGUUUACUUGAUGUGGUUUUAUUCCUGCAACUUGUAAUCUGAUUUUGAUCUAUAGCCCUGGUGUAAUAAUCGUUUUUGGAAUUAGAUGUGAUGAAAAAAUAUGCAAUUGUAGUAGUAGCAAUUAAAUUAUGAAAAUCUUGUUAGAAGAUUUUGAUAUUCUGUUCACCAGAAAAGAAAGAUAAGAUAUUAAUUCAGAAACCUUCUGCUUUGGUUCAUAAAUAGAUCCAAAAUAAAUAUUUCUACAAGACUUGCAACUGAACAGGAAAAAAAAAUGGACAUUUUCGUUUUCAAUUGGAGGAAAGAAAUUUGGUCUGUAAAAUAAAUGUAAGAUAGAAUGAAUGGAGUUCGAUGAAUUCUGAGCCUCGCACGGUUCUUAAUACCC
Molecule: long non-coding RNA, 630 nt
Organism: Ziziphus jujuba (common jujube)
Lineage: Eukaryota; Viridiplantae; Streptophyta; Magnoliopsida; Rosales; Rhamnaceae
Exons: 2
Source: RefSeq, a predicted model, not a curated record